ACCCUAUAUCUACCCACGUCCACAAACCUUCGUUAGUUUAAGCCAGCAUUUCUCCACAAUGGGUCGCCUUUCCACAGUUGUAGUUUUGAUUGCGUUAACGCAAUAUGUUUUUGUAUCUGCCAAUACAAUACAUAAGGAUAUUGAAGAAGUAGGCGCUAUUGAGAAAAUUGAUGCUCCCGAAGCACCAGCCGUUGCACAACCGAAUAUUGUAUCAAAUGAGUUCAAAUGCGCUAAGCUGGGUGAAGAUUGCAUUUUUCACAAUGACUGCUGCUCCCGCGCUUGCCUUGGCUACAGUAAGAAAUGUGUAACUUAGGUAAUGCUGAUGAAGAUAAGAAUAAAAUGUAUGUACAUAUUUAUAUUGUUACCGAAAAUUCUAAUGAGAUUCAAAAAAUGUAAAAUGUUAAUACGAAAUAUAUGAUUGAUUUUA
Molecule: long non-coding RNA, 427 nt
Organism: Helicoverpa zea (corn earworm)
Lineage: Eukaryota; Metazoa; Arthropoda; Insecta; Lepidoptera; Noctuidae
Exons: 2
Source: RefSeq, a predicted model, not a curated record